Molecule: ribosomal RNA, 484 nt
Filed under: uncultured bacterium
Lineage: Bacteria
Description: bacterial SSU rRNA
Rfam family: Bacterial small subunit ribosomal RNA
Source: RNAcentral
GAUUAACGCUAGCGGCAGGCCUAAUACAUGCAAGUCGAACGGGAUUCAAAGUAGCAAUAUUUUGAUGAGAGUGGCGCACGGGUGAGUAACACGUAUGCAAUUUACCUUUAACUGGGGGAUAGCCCUCCGAAAGGAGGAUUAAUACCGCAUAAUAUAUUGAAAUGGCAUCAUUUUAAUAUUAAACCUACGGGGGUUAAAGAUGAGCAUGCAUCCGAUUAGCUAGUUGGUGUGGUAACGGCUCACCAAGGCAACGAUCGGUAGGGGGUCUGAGAGGAUGAUCCCCCCANACUGGUACUGAGACACGGACCAGACUCCUACGGGAGGCAGCAGUAAGGAAUAUUGGACAAUGGAGGCAACUCUGAUCCAGCCAUGCCGCGUGAAGGAUUAAGGCCCUAUGGGUUGUAAACUUCUUUUAGACGGACAAAACCCCUUUACGUGUAAAGGGUUGAUGGUACUGUCAGAAUAAGCAUCGGCUAACUUCGUG